GACGAACGCUGGCGGCGUGCCUAAUACAUGCAAGUAGAACGCUGAAGGAGGAGCUUGCUUCUCCGGAUGAGUUGCGAACGGGUGAGUAACGCGUAGGUAACCUGCCUGGUAGCGGGGGAUAACUAUUGGAAACGAUAGCUAAUACCGCAUAAGAGUAGAUGUCGCAUGACAUUUGCUUAAAAGGUGCAACUGCACCACUACCAGAUGGACCUGCGUUGUAUUAGCUAGUUGGUGGGGUAACGGCUCACCAAGGCAACGAUACAUAGCCGACCUGAGAGGGUGAUCGGCCACACUGGGACUGAGACACGGCCCAGACUCCUACGGGAGGCAGCAGUAGGGAAUCUUCGGCAAUGGACGGAAGUCUGACCGAGCAACGCCGCGUGAGUGAAGAAGGUUUUCGGAUCGUAAAGCUCUGUUGUAAGAGAAGAACGAGUGUGAGAGUGGAAAGUUCACACUGUGACGGUAUCUUACCAGAAAGAGACGGCUAACUACGUG
This 495-nucleotide ribosomal RNA is filed under the name uncultured bacterium. RNAcentral describes it as "partial 16S ribosomal RNA". It matches the Rfam family "Bacterial small subunit ribosomal RNA", at positions 28 to 507 of the family's 1533-position model. The record is from RNAcentral.